This 155-nucleotide ribosomal RNA is filed under the name uncultured bacterium. RNAcentral describes it as "partial 16S ribosomal RNA". It matches the Rfam family "Bacterial small subunit ribosomal RNA", at positions 355 to 509 of the family's 1533-position model. The record is from RNAcentral.
UGAGGAAUAUUGGACAAUGGAUGGAAAUCUGAUCCAGCCAUGCCGCGUGCAGGAAGACGGCCUAUGGGUUGUAAACUGCUUUAUAUGGGAGCAAUAAGGCCUACGAGUAGGUUGAUGAGAGUACCAUAUGAAUAAGCACCGGCUAACUCCGUGCC